This 440-nucleotide ribosomal RNA is filed under the name uncultured bacterium. RNAcentral describes it as "partial 16S ribosomal RNA". It matches the Rfam family "Bacterial small subunit ribosomal RNA", at positions 338 to 795 of the family's 1533-position model. The record is from RNAcentral.
CCUACGGGGGGCAGCAGUGGGGGAUAUUGCACAAUGGGGGGAACCCUGAUGCAGCGACGCCGCGUGGGUGAAGAAGCGCCUCGGCGCGUAAAGCCCUGUCAGCAGGGAAGAAAAUGACGGUACCUGAUGAAGAAGCCCCGGCUAACUACGUGCCAGCAGCCGCGGUAAUACGUAGGGGGCAAGCGUUAUCCGGAUUUACUGGGUGGAAAGGGGGCGCAGACGGCGAUGCAAGCCAGGAGUGAAAGCCCGGGGCCCAACCCCGGGACUGCUCUUGGAACUGCGUGGCUGGAGUGCAGGAGGGGCAGGCGGAAUUCCUGGUGUAGCGGUGAAAUGCGUAGAUAUCAGGAGGAACACCGGUGGCGAAGGCGACCAGCUGGACUGCAACUGACGUUGAGGCGCGAAAGCGUGGGGAGCAAACAGGAUUAGAUACCCUGGUAGUC